Molecule: unclassified non-coding RNA, 386 nt
Filed under: fungal sp.
Lineage: Eukaryota; Fungi
Description: partial internal transcribed spacer region
Rfam family: Eukaryotic small subunit ribosomal RNA (bases 1-46)
Source: RNAcentral
AAGUCGUAACAAGGUUUCCGUAGGUGAACCUGCGGAAGGAUCAUUAACAACGUAUCCACGUUAACUCACCCAGUGAAUCUGUUUUCUUCUCCCUACGAGUAUGCAUGAAGAGGAGCCAAGGUGCAGGCAGAGUGGGAUCGCUUGCGAUCACACUGCACUAACGCUAUCGAGUGGACUUGUGCCAUUCAACUCUUGUAGCAUACCCUUAGGUUUCAGUCGCAGAGUGCGGCGGCCUCUCUGGCUUGCACUCUACGGCGCUUUAUACUAACCUAUUUCACCCCCUUUUGCUAGUUGACUUUAUUUAUGUUAUAUGCGGACUCGUCCUCGUAUACACGUUUCUUAAUUGAACAAUAAAACAACUCUUAGCAAUGGAUAUCUUGGUUCUC